RNAcentral lists this ribosomal RNA (420 nucleotides) under Fusobacteriota bacterium. RNAcentral describes it as "Fusobacteria bacterium partial 16S ribosomal RNA". It matches the Rfam family "Bacterial small subunit ribosomal RNA", at positions 355 to 776 of the family's 1533-position model. Lineage: Bacteria; Fusobacteriati; Fusobacteriota. The record is from RNAcentral.
UGGGGGAUAUUGCACAAUGGGCGAAAGCCUGAUGCAGCGACGCCGCGUGGGGGAUGAAGGCCUUCGGGUUGUAAACUUCUUUUGCUCUGAACAAGGCAUGCCUUUGGGGUGUGUUGAGUGUAGGGGUUGAUUAGCGCCGGCUAACUACGUGCCAGCAGCCGCGGUAAUACGUAGGGCGCGAGCGUUGUCCGGAAUUAUUGGGCGUAAAGGGCUUGUAGGUGGCUGGUUGCGUCUGUCGUGAAAGCUCAUGGCUUAACUGUGGGUUUGCGGUGGGUACGGGCUGGCUUGAGUGCAGUAGGGGGGGCUGGAAUUCCUGGGGUAGCGGUGGAAUGCGCAGAUAUCAGGAGGAAUACCGGUGGCGAAGGCGAGUCUCUGGGCUGUUACUGACGCUGAGGAGCGAAAACGUGGGGAGCGAACAGG